Long non-coding RNA from Fukomys damarensis (Damara mole-rat), 309 nucleotides. RefSeq lists it as uncharacterized. The transcript has 3 exons. NCBI's taxonomy places the organism in Eukaryota, Metazoa, Chordata, Mammalia, Rodentia, Bathyergidae. The record is from RefSeq and is a predicted model, not a curated record.
AGCAGCAUAAGCCACCUUACCUAGACUUAUACACUAUUUUUAUUCCUGAAGGAAAUUUGACUUAUCCAAUGAAAUGAAGUAAAGUUAACAUUUACCAUGUACUGCUUAGAGACAACUCUGAAAAGCCCGUCACUGCUGAUAUCUAACAUGGUGAGUCCCAGUUGAGUUCCUGAUGUCUCUUACUGACACUUCCUUGGGAGUGACUGAUCAUUCCCCAUGUCCAGGGCUUUCGCUACUUGAGUAACUACAUUUUUCAAGAAGUAUACAUGGACUUAAUUAUCUGUGCCUGAGUACCACCCAGCAGCCAGA